CCAACUUUCAUUCAUUCUCCUACCCUCCACCCUUUCCUAUCUGUCGCUUCUCUGCCGAUCUUCUUGUCUCCUUCAUUUCCACCCUUCCUCAUUCUCUCUCUCUCUCUCUCUCUCUCUCUCUCUCACUCUUUUCGCCCAGUCUUUCUCAUUUCUCUACCUCGUUUUCGCUUCGUUUCAAGUGCUUGUCUCUCUCUCUCACCGCACAGUUCCGUUGUCAUUUGGAACAUGUUUCAUCUGAUUUAUGGACACUUGUGCCGUUGAUACCCAUCGCAUACACGGACAUACAGCUGCCUGAACACGCACUCCUCUGCAUCCAUCCAUCACUCUUAACCAGUUGCAGCCGGUGUGUAUACCAUGCACUCCAACACUCCGUUGUCCUUUUCUCUGCUUGCCGUUUACCCGGAUAUCUGGUGUAUGACGGACAUGUUUCGGAAGAUGAACAGUAUUUCAGCCGUAAAUUAGAAGAGGAGGAGGACGUGGAAACACAUACCAUAACCCACACAGACAGACUCCGGGUAAGGUCUAGUGUUCUUCAUAUGUAGUGCUUCACACCACCUGUGCUCGCGCCCGCGCACACACACACACACACACUAUAGCAUCCAUACAUACACACACGAGCGUCACAAGGUGUAGUGCUGCGUGAAAAGGACUUCCACGCGAUGCAUACACUCACAGCAUACGUUCUCUGUCUGUCUGUCUGUCUCUCUCUCUCUCUCUAUCUCUCUAUCUAUCAUCAAUGUGUGUGUGUGUGUGUCAACACAGAUACGGGCAAAUACGCGCCGCCGCCACCGUCAUAGUUGUCAUCAUCGCCAUCAGCUUCAUCAUACAUCAAAUAUGAAGUAGUUAUAUAUUUCCUUGCAACAUAAUUUUGUGUAGAAUAGGAGUAGCCAAGUUUCAAGACUUUCUGCUUCUAUGUGUGUGGAAAGAGAGAGAGAGAGAGAGAUGAAAUGAAGGAAGAGAGCAUGAUUGUCACUGCAUCCCAAUCCAAACUUGCCAUCACUCCUUAUUCCAGUCAUUAUAAUUUCUUGGCACCCACCUACUUCCACUUAAAACAGUAGCAUUUAUACUAUUUUACAUUUAAAAAAAACAACAACAUUUCGUCUAUUUAGACCUCCAAUCCCCUUACUUUUUCAACCCGCUCCUCUUUAACAUCCCCUCCUCAUCAUCUAUCCCCUGUAGAAAUAUCAUCAUCAUCAUUAUUAUUAUUAUUAUUAAUUGAUAUUUAUUGUUUUUAAAAUGUGUGUCACAGGUAUAAUCAUAUCGAAUUCUUUCAGUUGGUCUUCUUUCGAAUCUUCUCAUAUACCAAAUAUUGUUGACUGUGAGAGUGUUUAGUAUAUUUUCUCUACAAUACAAAUGCUUAGCAAGGAAGUGGUAAUAUAGUGCCUGUAAUACAAGAUUACACAGUAAUUUGUUUGUUAUAUAUGAAUGCGAGCGCGCAAUCAGAUGUGUGUGUCGGAAUGUUGGUCUGAAAUUGUAUGUAUGCGCUUGUUGCCCUAUCAUGUGUAUUAAUUCAAGUUCGACCUUAAAAAAAUAAAAUUAAAAAAAGCAAACAUAUAUAAUGUAAGCAAUAUCAUGUAAUCAAUUCUUAAUUAGGUACUUUUUUAAUUAUAGUGGAUUUGAAAUGAGAAAAUAGUUUUAUUCUCACUGUUCUUGCGUAAAACUUAUUUAUUAACCCCCCCCCCCUUAAUGAACAAAACUACAUAAUGUGGUAUGAGAGAGUUUCAGACUAUUUUGUGUAGCCACAUGAGGAACGCUUUUGAACCUGAAUUUAUAAUUCUUGAGAAAAUAAUUAUUGAUCAGAUGUUCUUAUUUCUCCCAUCACUUUUUCACUUCUAACAUAUUUUAACGAACCUUCUUUUCGUCUAAAUAUUUACUUUCGAGUUUUUUGUUCGACACUUAAGACCUCCUCUCUCCUUUUAAUGACCGUCAACUGCAGAUGGCUAAGUACCAUAAGCUCGUCUGUGAUUCAUGUCCCGUCACCGACGCUCUCACAUCUGACCAUUUAACAUUGCCAAGGGGCCUCAUCUCAACUCAUUUUAUUUGCAAUUCGUUAUCACAGAAUAGGUAGAACUGAAGCCCUCACCGAACUUCACAAUUCGAUGUACUCUCUCUCUCUCUCUCUCUCUCUCUCUCUCUCUCUCUCUCUCUCUCUCUCUCUCUCUCUCUCUCUCUCUCUCUCUCUCUCUCUCUCACACACACACACACACACACUGCUUUGCGAAUCAAGGAUUAAAAUAAACGAGUAAUUCAUGUCAGGUAACGUAGAUAUUUCGUCUCCCAGUUACUGGUUGUCUGCUGUUUACUUGGAAGAACUACGGCAAUGGGGGAAAGUAUGAUUGAUCCACAGCUGAACUCACCAACCACGCAUCCUAUCUAACCUUUGUGUGUGUACGUUUGCAUGAUCAUCAUCGUCUUCAUGUUCGCUUUUCCAUGCUGGCAUGAGUCGGACGGAAUUUUCUACAGCCGGAUGCCUUCCCUGUCGCCAAUCUCCACCUGGUUUCAAGUAAGGUAAUAUUUCCUCAUGGCGAGACAUGUUUUUCACGGAAUACUCGGAACAGAGGACACCGCUUGCAUGACGGUGACACUCGCGUAAAACUAUCAUGCGAUGUGAAGGCAAAGAGACAGUAGCACACACAUACACGCACAGAGUUAGAUAUAGAUGGGCUUCUUUCAGUUCCCGUCUGCCAAAUCUACUCACAAGGCUUCGAUUGACUCAGGGCUAUAGUAGUAGACACUUGCCCAAGGUGUCACACAGUGGGACUGAACCCUCAACGCAUGUGGCUGGGAAGCGAGCUUCUUACCACACAGCCACGCCUGUGCGCGCACCCGAGUUAUUAGCUUAAACCAGACGAAGCUGGGCUUCCUCUGACUUUUCAGGGUUUCUGUGACUGGCAAGAGAAGGUUAUCUUCAAACUGGAGACCUGGACGAAAUGCUUCCAUCUGCGAACUCCUAAAACCCCUCAAAGAUCAUUUAACCAAUGUUCAAAUAUAUUCAUAACUUGUGUAAUCUAUACUAAGCCGAACUGCAGGCAUUUGGCUACAUCUUGUUUUUUCUUCUCUUAUGUAAGUUUUCCUUAACAUACUUGUAAUGUAUUUUAUACAGAUGAAAAAUUCCCUUGUCACUUUGGGUUCGAUUGUUAAAACUAAAACCCUAUUCGCCCAUCUAAAGUUUACCUUUGCGCUAUUGGGGGAGGAAGAGAUGUGACAGUUUCUGUUAAAUGACAUAUGACCAAAGACUGUUGAGCGGGAGGUGUCAGUACAUGAUGAACAACACUACGUGCACAAACUCAACAAGAUUAUAAUCUGUUUCUUUACUACCCACAAGGGGCUAAACACAGAGGGGACAAACAAGGACAGACAAACGGAUUAAGUCGAUUAUAUCGACCCCAGUGCGUAACUGGUACUUAAUUUAUCAACCCCGAAAGGAUGAAAGGCAAAGUCGACCUCGGCGGAAUUUGAACUCAGAACGUAGCGACAGACGAAAUACUGCAAAGCAUUUCGCCCGGCGCGCUAACGUUUCUGCCAGAUCGCCGCCUUGUAACAAGAUUAUAAUCGUUGACGCUGUAUUUAACAUGUAUAUAUAAAUGUGUGUGUACAUAAAUUAUAAUUAUUGCAUUUCUUCCGGUUCUUAACAUCCUGAGUUCAAAUCCUGCCGAGAUUGAACUUCACCUUUCACGCCCCCCCUGCGGGGUGGUGGUCGAUAGAAUAAAGUACCAAUGAAGUACUGCAGUCGAUGUAAUCGAUUUACUCCCCCAACCACAUCCCCCUAAAAUUGCUGCUCUUGUCGUGACCAUCUGGUCUUUUUUGCAUAUUCUUAACUAUAUUACCCCAGCCCACUCCCGCCAUUGUAAUUUGAUGUAGAUUUGGCUAUUAUUUCCAGUAGGUCUCGAAGGACAAAUGGAUUUUCAGUGUUUAGUGUAGUCACGUUAUGAGUUCAAAUUCUCCUGAAGUCGAUCGACUUCGUCAUUCAUUCUUCCCAGAUCGUUAAAACAGGUAUUAGUGAAGUACUGAGAUCAAUAUGAUUGAUUAUCCUUGUGGGUCUUGUACCUGUAUUAUAAAAUAUUUCUUGAAGUCGCAGGGGUCUGUGCAUUGACAGAAUCGUCAGAGCACCGAAACAAAUACUUGGCGGGGCUUCUUCCGGCUCUUUACAUUCUGUGUUCAAAUUCUGCCGGAGUUGAUUUUGUCUUUCUUCCUUUCGGGUUCGAUAAAUUAAAUAAGUUCCACUUGAGCAGUGGAUGUAAUCGAUGAGCCCCCCCCGCCCCCCGCACCAAAGGCGAUGGAGCGUCAGAUCAAUUGGUUUUAAUUUACGUUCACUCCUUUACCUCGCUGCUUUCGUACCAGUCAUAUACUGGAGUCGAUGCAAUUAACUGACACAUCCUACAAAUUUGUGACAUGGCAUAAUGGCGUAGCUAAUGUGUGCUGCAUAGGACCACCCUAGAAUUUGUCAUCUUCAUGCCUCCCCUUAUACUGGUUUUUACAGUUGACCCAAAAGGGCCUCCCGCAGCGGAUGCCCCCAAACCCAGUGCAAUGGACAUGACAGAGCUCGGAAUUUUGUUUCAUUUUUCGUUCCUUUACUUUCCGAUGUCAAAUUCUUUCCGGGUUCGAUUUUUGUUCUUCGUUGCUCUGGCAUCACAAUAAGAUUACGUAGAAGUUAUUAUUUAACCCCAGGUCUGAUCUGGUCGAGCGGAACUGUGGUCAAAGACAUUUCGAAGUUGUAUUGCACAAUGUUAAAGCAUUAGGGCUUGUUUGAUUCAAGAUAGAUUUGAUAGAUUUUGGUUGCUAUUUCUAGCGAGUCGAGUGACCAUAUAGAAGCUCCCUGGUUCCGUCGUUGAUGUUGUUGUUUAUAACUUCUUGUCGGUUGUGGUCCUUGACUAAAGACAUUCCAGCGGCACCCACGCCUUUUAUCUUUUACUAGAUUGUGGUCGUAUUGAGACACCACCUUGAAGAGGUUGGUUGAACCAAUUCACCCCUGGUGCUUAUCUUAAAGUUUGGUACUUAUUCUAUCGCUUUUUUUUUGCCAAACUUCUAAAUUACAGUGACGUAAACAAACCAACACUGGUUGUCAAGUGGUGGUGGGUGACAAACACAUACAUAUACGACGGGCUUCCACACUGUUCCCGCCUACCAAAUUCGCUCUCAAGUCAUUAGUUGAUUCGGGGCUUUAUUAAUAGACACUUGUCCAAGGUGAUGUCACGCAUGGAAAUGGAUGCAAAGCAAGGCUCGUAUUUAAGGGUGUUUGGCCCCUUAUUAACCUUGAUCAGAGCUGAUUGAUUUGUGAUCUAAAGUGAUUGAGUCGUGAGUCCAAUGUUUUUUUCUUCAUGCAAAGCAGUCAAGUGUUGAGGGAAAUUCAGAUGCUAUUUCUAGCAGGUCGAGCGACUACGUUAGGAUCUCCUUCGCUUCGUUGCUGUUGUGGAUAUAAAUUUAUGAACAGAAGUGUCUUCAGUUUUCACUUUGUGCUAGAUUUCGGGAAUAAGAAAGUCUGCGACACGAAAAACUUAAUUACUGCAGUGUGUGUGUGUGUGUGUGGUAAGACCAGGGUGGAUCUGUCGACUUCUGCUGUAUGCAACUUGUAUAGUAAGAAAGAAAGGAAAGGAAAAAGCUGAGACCAUCCAUCUUUUUAGGAUUCUCUUAAUGUCUCAUUGUGUCUGAGAGAAUCAGACUGGCCUUAUUAAGAAGUCCGUUUCGCAUUUACAUGGGGUCUCGUUCAAUUCCACUCCAGUAACGUCUUCGUCAGAUGCCUUUUUUUAUUAUAACUUCUGGUCGACCAGAAUCUUGUGACAGAAAUUUGGUAGAGGUGACAAAUGCCCUGCAGCCAAUCGCAAGGGCCGCUUCUACCCGUGAUUUAUAGAUUUAAUCCGUCAUACGGUUCUGCACCAAUCGCCAGAUUCUUGGAUGUAUUUCUCACUUUGUUGCAAAUAUUCUGACCAGAUGCAGUGGAGAAACUUGAGUGUGUGUUCCGCCUGGGGAGGCCCUUGAGUUUGCUGUUCCCUCCUCCCCAUGCCCUCAAGCAUAUAUAGGCUUAUGCAGACCUAACAGUUACGCCCCUAAUAAAAGCGUCGCCCGAGGCGCUUCGCCCUUCUCGCCCCCACCUAGUCAGCUAUUGACCAAAUCCCCGCUCCGCCGGUCAUGGAAACUUCUGAAAAGGGUUAUGAGCACUGCUCUUCCUCUUUUGAUUAAGCUUUUAAAACAAUAAAUAUUGAACACUACGAGCUAACAACCACUAAUGGGAAAUAAUGAGAUGUGAACCACCACCGCCACCACCGUCUUCGUAUUGCUAUAAAAUCCAACCACCAGAAAAUUAUGUGCCACUGUAUUGUCUGCUUUAUUCGAUUGAUUGCUUCAUUGUUCCACUCUGGCAUCGCAGAAACGAAAGUUUGAAUUUAUUCUAUCAAUAAUUAUUAAGCUAAAUAAUAUUUCCCCCUCUCCCCCCUAUCUCUCUCUGAAAUGUCGCCUUUUUAGCAAGUUAUUUGGAUAUUAACAAGCAUUGCUUAAUAUUCAAAUGUAUGAAUACACGAUCUGACGAUAUCACUUAAACGCAAUACAUAUUUAUGUGUUCACAUAAAUAUGUAUUGCAGUAGAAUUAUUGCACAAUAGGGUUUUGUGGCGUUCAUACCGUUCCGCUAUCCCAUUCCAGAAUACAUGCAAAUGUUUCACUCACUCAGACUAGGGGCACACAUACGUACACACACAUGCAAAGAAACAGUGACUUCGAAGUCGCAGCUUGUUCGCCUUCAUCACUGCGCUCUACUUUACCCUAAAUCACAACAAAACCCAACUUUCUAUACAAAGAAUGUCGUGAGCUGCAUUUGGCGCAUCUGUUUAUACCUUUACUUUCACGCCUGACUGAUCCCUAAACAAUAACAAUUCCUGUAUCAAACCAGAAUAAAUCUCGUUAUAACUUUAUAUCACCCUAUACCCCACAAUCACACUUUCUUUUCCUCCUCAGUUCUCCCCCUUCCUACACAGCUACUUUCCCUAUUUACCCCACACCAGAAAAUAUCUUACCCAAAACCAUAUAAAGUCAAUAAGAAUCCAGGUUGAGUAUGAUGAAGGCAAGCAGGCCGAAACUUCCAAGAUACUCUCAACCUUUUCCUUGUAGAAGUUGAUAAAUAUGUUCUCUACUAAAAUGUCUUGAGUCGGCCAUCAGUUUAAUGUUAAAUUGUUUUUAUGUGUAAUUUCAUAUAAACACACACGCACUCGCGCGCGCUCUCUAUUAAUUUAGCAAAAAAUAUUCAUUUUGGGCUUCUUUCAAACACAAUCCACUUGUUUUUGAAAACUUUUCGCUACUUUUUAUAAACUUGAAUCUGUUGAACUUUUCUCUUUUCUUUUUUUUUAGUUUGUAAUCAUUUAAAACUAAUUUGGAAAUCUCUGUUGUGGGUUUUGUUAGAAAAUCUCUUCCUUCUUAGUAUAAACUUCGCAUAAAGCUACCGGGAACACGCAUUCGCGCGCGCGCACACACACACACACACACAGUGACUCUUCUCCGCACCACUGCAGCAAUGGACUGCAUCACUUCCUGCGGAGUGUAACUCGAGUGAUGAUGAGAGGUUAGAAUGUCUCUACUUUCACUUUCGUCAAUCGGUAGCUUGUAUGAUCUCGUUUUGGCGACCGCAAGUUGGUAGAAUCGUUAACGCCUCAGACUAAAUGCUUAACGGCAUUUCUUUCGGUUCUGUAUAUUCUGAGUUCAAAUCUCGCCCAGGUCGACCUUGCUUCCUUUCUGGGAUAGAUAAAAUAAGGACCACUGGGGUCGAUGUAAUCGAUUUAGCCCCUCCCCUAAAAUUGCUAGGCAUCGACUUGUGAUAAAAAAAAAAUGUUCUUAGAAGAGAUCCUUGAAUUAAGGCUUUUUUUUUUCUUUAAAUUUUAAAAGUCUCUGACUUACAAUUAAGAUGUGGUUGUGCCUAAAUCCGGGGGUUGUUGCGGGCCCGCGCGCGUGCGCACGUAGCAAGAUAAACUGUUUGCUUUAGGAGAUAGGGUCUUAAUAAGGAACUUCUCGUGCUUGGGAUGGAUGUGGAUUGUAUCGGAUCGUUUAGAAUUGUUUUUCUUGUUUAAUGAGGAAGACAUGGCACUCGACUGUGAAAUAAAAUCAUAUCAAUUAUUCUGAUGUUAUUAAUAAUGUUUGUAGCAGUUUUAUAAUUUGAAACCAAUGAACACAAUAGUCUUCACACGUUAUUGUCUUCAUUCGUUUAAAAUAUAAUACAUAUAUGAUAUAAUAUAUAUAUAUGAUAUAAUACAUAUAUGAUAUAAUAUAUAUAUAAUAUAAAUAAGAUAUAACAACUUCCUCUCAAUUGAUAGCCGAAAAAUAAAUUUUAAAAAAAUCCUUCGAUAAAGAGUCCUCUCCGGUUACCAGACAUAAAAUAACCUGUGAUAGAUGUGUGAAUGUGGAGAUAUUAACCCAAGGAUCGCCGAGACGAAAGGUUGGUAGUGGUUACUAAAACUCUGAUUCUCUUCAGGGGAAGGAUUCAACUCAGAGCAGCUUUAAACCCUUUUGUUCCGCCUCAAGGUAAAUUAACUUGUUUAAUUUUGUGAAUAGUUUUUACUGUAUUGCUGUCACAGCUCAGCAUUCGUUUCGUCGGAUUUUGAAUGUAACGAUCAAGACACGAUGUCGUAACCGGACCAAAUAGUAGUCGGGCUGUUUUGCUGUUGUUGGAAACAGGUUUUAUAUAAUGUGUAAUAUUGACAAGAGGCGACCUUCAGAUCCCAUGUUUUGUGUAUGUAAAUGUAGUGUUUUUAGUCUAGUGUUCAGCUUAUUUCCCAAUAAUCAACAUUCGAAUAGAUGUUAGUCGUUAGUCUAUGCACUGACAUCACCACUUAUUCCGAUAUUCCAAUAAUUAAACUUUCCGAACAGUUCCUUCUGUAUUCGUUUUAGUUCUUUAGUUUGGCACCGAGGAGCACGAGUUAGGAACUGUCAUGCUGUUCUCCCCCCCCCCUUCCCGUUAAGUAUUUAUUUGUCUGCUCCACCGAACAGCCGAACGAACGUUCGAUCCACGAAAUUUCGCUUCCACUUCUACAGUGAGCUUUCUCCACCUCUACGAUGUCUACUUGCCAACUGUUUUAGCGUUGUCUCAUGACCCACUCUUAAUCUAGAAUACUAACACAGAUGCCUACAUAGACAGACACAUAUACGCACUUACAGAUGGGCACACGUGAUUCCGUACUAUUGUUAGCACAACAGAUCGUAUAUAAUAAAUACUCCAGCCACUGCUUCGCUCUCUAAAUCAUUGCUUUGUUUGAUUUUAGUUUCAGAUUAAAAUUGCUAUUAAUCAGAGUAAAAACCAGACUCGGGAAACUGGCAGGGGUCUACCUCUGCAACGAUGAGUAAUCGAAGGAAAGGCAGAAAUAUAUAUAAUGUAUAUUUUAUAUAUGUGAGGUAUGUUUGCCAUCACAUUGUCGUGCAGUUACUGUUUAUACCUCGUUCAGAGAUUUAUUAUAUUAUAUUAUAUUAUAUAUAUAUUUAUAUAAUGAGGAAAAGAAAAAGGCCGGUACGAAAGAAAAGCUAUCUUUAUCUGGGCAAACUUCUUGUUUCUCUUAUCAAGUCCCUUUUCUUUCGACUCAUUCUCAUCUUUUCACUGUUGUUGCCCCCCCCCUCCUUACAAGAUGUUUCAACUCUGCUAGUGUCUUUCUUCGAACAUCUUGUCUUCCAUCUUGUUUCCCUGAUCGAUUUAAUUGUAUUUAAAAAAAAAAAAACAGAAAAGAAAUUUCUGCUGAUCGUUUAAUGUUUUUUAAGGCAGGACUGUUCUACUGGAUAUUUUGUUCCUCUUUUCUUAUCUAACUUCCAACAACGUGGUUGUUUGAGGACUGUUCUAUUGCUGGUUAUUUGCUGCUUUGUUGAUUGUAGCUUCUUGUAGAUAGCAAGCGUACGAAACUAUCUUCUUCGUCGAGAAUAGACGUUAACCCGAAACGUCGCAGUUUUGUUCAUCAUUUUGUUGCGGUAACAUUUAUUUUAUUGUAUCUCGAGAGGGUCAUUAUGCCAAUAAUAAAAAAAAACACACGCACUGGUUCCGUUUCACUUGUCAAUUGGUUACCUGUUUAAUUAUCUAAUUGAUUGUUUGAUUAAUCAAUCAGCUACGUUUGUCGAAGUCUUUUUGUUGCCAUUCGCGACCUCUUCAAUGACGUGCCUUCUCUAAUAAAUUGAUCAAAGUAAUUGGACCUUCUCAUUCAAAAUACUUCCCCUUCCCAAGUAACUAAGUUUUCACGAUCUCAAAUUCAAAUGCAAUCUUUGGGAGGAAUUGCAAGGAGCUAAUUCCUAGGCAUUGUUGUGCCAAUCUGAUCCAAACGCCUUGUCCUCAGUGAUGCAGCAAUGCUAAAAAUAAUAACAAUCCUUUCUACUAAAGGCACAAGGCCUGAAAUUUUGGGGGAGGGGACUAGUCAAGUACAUCGACCCCAGUGUUUCACUGGUACUUAAUUUACCGACCCCGAAAGAAUGAAAGGCAAAGUCAACUUUGGCGAAAUUUGAACUCAGAACGUAAAGACAGACGAAAUGCCGCUAAGCAUUUCGCCCGGCGUGCUAACGAGUCCGCCAGCUCGCCGCCUUGAUAAUCCUUUCUACUCUAGGCACAAGGUCUUGUGGGGAGGAGGAAGUCGAUCAUAUUGACCCCAGUACUCAACUGGUACUUGCUUUAUCGAUCCCGAAAGGAUGAGAGGCAAAGUCAACCUCGGCAGAAUUUGAACUCAGAAUGUAAAGACGGGUGAAAUGCUGCUAAGUAUUUCGCCCGGCGUGCUAACCAUUCUGCCAGCUCCCUACCUUGAUGAUGAUGAUGAUGAUCCUCCUUAUCAUCGUCAAAUAGUUUGCUUUCGGAUUCUGAACGAAGGGAUCUGAUAUCAAAAGCGUCCCAACUUUGACUUUACUCUUCUUAAAUUUUGCUUGCUAGGGUCGUCUUUUUCUUUUUCUGUUUUUGAGAUGUGAACACGUGAUUUGUAGAUUUGGCUGUUAUUUCUAGUAGGUUGAGUUAUCGCAAGAUGAUCUUGCUAAUAUAUAUAUGUGUGUGUGUGUGUGCAAUUGAAAAAGCAGCAAAAAAUUUGUUUCUAAACAAAACUGUCCGACGAACGGGAACGUGAAACUCUGAGAAACAGUUUUUGUGAUAUUUUUGCUCCUUUUUGAUAAAGCAUAUUACUCUACAUCUGGUAUUCGAGUACUAUUCUUUCGACCCGGUUUCGCAUUUAUGUGCUUACUCUGGUGUGUGUGUGUGCGUGUAUAUAUAUGUGUGUAUAUGCUAUAUAUAUGCGUAAGAGUGGGUGUGUGGUAAGUAGCUUGCUUCCCAACUACAUGAUUCCAGGUUCAGUCCCACUGUGUGGCACCUUGGGCAAGUGUUUUCUACUAUCAUCUCGAGCGGGCCAAAGCCUUGUGUGUGGAUUUGGUAGACGGAAACUAAAAGAAGCCCGUCGUAUGUAUGUAUAUAUUUAUGUUUGUGUUUGUUCCCCCACCAUUGCUUGACAGCGGAUGUUGGUGUGUUUACAUCCCUGUCACUUAGCGGUACAACAAAGAGAACGAUAGAAUAAGUACUAGGCUUACAAAGAAUAAGUCCCGGGGUCGAUUUGUUCGACCAAAGGCGGUGCUCUAGCAUGGCCGCAGUCAAAUGACUGAAACAAAUAAAACAAUAGAAGAAUAUAUAUAUACACACACACGAAGGACUUGCCCGUCGUUAGAUGACAUAUGACGAAUGAGGUUUCCGCAGUUUCUUACCAAACAGCCACACAGAUGAUUUGUUUAUAGUGAUCAAAUGUUUGUGGUAGACAUAAGCUCACUCCCUCCAUCAAAUUGACAUUACCUGUACAGGUGCGUCAUAUGCCACAUGUUUGAUAACGAAAUGAUCGCAGAGAGCAACGUGAAAUGAAGUGCUUUGGUCAAGAGCAUGACACAACGCCCGGUCUGGGAAUGGAAACCAUGAUCUCGUAGUCGUGAGUGCAAAAACUUCACAAGCUGCGACACCAGUGGAUACUGACAACUGACUGACCACUGGUUAUGUAAAACUCUUCAAUAACAGUCUGUGAAGUUUUUUCAGCUUGAACAAAAUAUAUGGCUCUACCUUUGGUAUUCGAGUCCUGUUUUUUUUCCAGCUUGUUUUCCACGCAUGUGCGUGUGUGCGUAACACUUUCGUGUCAGUAAUGUAAGGUGUCCAUAUUUCUAGAUAUCAAUUUCUGUAUUUUAUUUUCCUUGAGUACCAAGCACUUUACAAGUAAACUAUCAAAAAUAUGAGAUGACACAGCUUUGUAAAACCUUAUGACAGACAAAGAAUGUAGAAGAUAAAAAAAUUGAUAUUUUAUCUGAUUUAAAAAAAACCGUUUCGUAAUAAGUUUGAAAGUUAAAACCUUACUAAAUAUAACCUAUUCGGCUGGUGCUCUUUGUCCACCUGCACACUUUCUCCCCCCCCCCCCAUCACAUUCAUAUGUUCUCAAUUUAUUUGAAUGUCAUUCGUUUAUCACCCAUUUCAUUGCAUUUUAUAUUUGGUGGUCCUUCGGUAUUGGUAUCCAGUGCGUCAGUAUGAGGAGACAUCAUCCACCCUCAUCUUUAUCUAUGUCUUGAGGGAAGGUUGUGUGUGUGAAUGACAUCAUUAACCAAUACUGAAGGAUUUCUUUAUAUUUUUAUUUUCCAAGAGUGUCUCAUGUUCACCCAUGGUAAAUGCAUUACGAUCGUGUAAACUAAAAACUUAAAUUUGGGUUCAAAUAGUUCCACAUCCGUUCAUAAGAGGUGUAGUCGGCCAAAUGUAGUUGUAGCUAAGCAGACCUAUUAUCAAGGACGUUCCAUUCAUGAGCAUCACGCCUUUCUUCUCCUAGCAGCAGUGUAUUGAGGAUAACAUUAUAUCCUCCAAUAUGUGAAUUAAGGGAGGCUUUUAGCUUAAUCGCGUUGUGCAGUGAUUCUUAUUCACCCUUAUUUUUUAAUUAUCGACUUUUAUUAACCCACUUUCAAUGUCCCGAGCUAUGAUUCUAGAAAUAUAAAUACACCAAAAGGCUGCCAACAAGUUUGAUCACAUUAAAAGACUUCUUGAAUAUAAGUCAUUUCACCAAUAUUAAUAUGGAAUGAAAAAAAUAUACUGGCCACUGAUAUUGGUUUCAAAUGUUGGCGCAAGGGAAGAGUGAGUAAGGGCUCCGUUAGGACUUAUUUUAUUGACCCGAAAGGAUGAAAGGCAAAGUCAACCUCGGCGAAAUUUGAACUCAGAAUGUAAAGACGGACAAAAUGCAUCUAAGCAUUUUGCCCAGCGUUCUUAACAAUUCUGCCAGCUUGCCACCUCAAAGACGGAAGAAAUAUAGCUAAGCAUUUUGUCCGGCACGAUAAUUUUGACUGUCAAUAUCACAAGAUGUUUCGCACCCCUCACCCCAAAAAUUAGAAUGUUAGAGCAAUUAAAAGAUUUAUAAUUUAUUGCCCCCUUAUUGCUCCUUUUGUUCUCAGUACCCAUAUAACCCCACUUCUUGAUCCACCUUGAAAAGUCCUGGUGUAAAGGUCUCUCGUUAGUUGCUUUGAAUGUUAUGAACGUUGAAUUAUUGUCGAGUAGCGAUUGUAAUAAGGAGUAUUGCAAAAAUAUUAAUUAAAAGGGUCUGAGUCAGCAAUUGGUUUUGCUUGUUUGUGCUACUCGAUGCUGAAUAAGUGGCAUGUUUAACUUUGUGAAAGUCAAUACUUUCAACGACACCAGCCUCUCUUAUUGCUUCAUCAAUUACUCUUAAUAGCUGUCAAGGUCAACAACUAUAACAAGCUGUAGCAGUUGUUGACCUUCAUCAUAUCGACAUCUCGCUGAGCAAGUUUGGGUUUGCACUUGAAAUGGAUGUUCUGAUCUGACACGGUUGUCAGUGGGAAGACACUCAAGAUGGAGAAGAACAUCAAAUACCUCGGCGCAGGAAUCUCCUCCUCAUUGUCGUCGUCGUUCAGGGAUCCAUGGUAUUAAUUCAUGACAUGCCAAAAGUAUGGACGUCUGGAUUCAGCUGGAAGAUGAAGCGUUACCCGCUUCGUCUCCUUCCUGCUUUAUAGGACAGAAUCAUGAAUACUAACUGAUGCCCAGAAAAAAAAAAAGAAGAAAAAAAUAAAGAAAUCGAUGGAUGUCUGUUAUAUUAGGAAUGCAUGCUUUAUUAUUUCAACACAAAUUUAAGUUUGUGCGACGAGUUUAAUAUAGAAUAAUGAGUAAAAGAAAUGGAAGAGGCGUCAGUUUGAUUAUGAUCAUAUGAGGGGGAUUCUAAUUGCAUUUAUGUUGUGAGAAGAAAACAUUCCCUCUAUAACUUAUGCCAUUUAUUUAAUCUAGUCUCUGCAAGAAAGGGUGACUACUCUGAAUAUUUUCCCGUCUAAUUACACCUCUUCAGUGAAGCCGGUGAAUCAGUUGAAAGAUCAGUCUGUUGUAAUCUAUUUUUGUGGUGCAAACCCUGGUUUAACACUUUGUUGGGCUGGAAGAUACCUCAAAGUAAAAAACAAAGCUUAUCAAAGGUCGUGCGGAACCUGCAAAACUUUAAUCGAUGUGAAGGUUUCUGUAAUGCAAUCCCAGGGGCUGAGAUGGGACCCCAAACAGCAGUGUGAAAUACGUACUAGUGUCUAGCUCAAGAUGUAGGCGCGUGGUAAUAAGUACAGCAGAAAUUUACAAGUGUUGAAUUGUAUUUAUUUUGAAUUACAAGGUGCAUUCCACAAGUUUUCGACACUUUUUCAGGAGAGACAUUAAUUUCAAAGAAGCUUAAAGCUCUAAUCUCCUUCAAAGUAGAAUCGUCCGACUUCGAUGCAUUUGUUGUAGCAUUGCAACCACUGUGUGAAGACCUCAUGGAAGUCUUCCAAAUUGAAGGUGUCCAUGACUCCUAUCGCAGCGUCCUUCAUCUUUUCGGUGUCUUCAAAAAGACUGCCCUUGAGGUUCUCUUUCAGCUUGGAGAACAACCAAAAGUCACAGAAAUCAACCCCACUUCAGCAACAUCUGUAGGGAGGAUGAGGGGCAGUUUUGAUGCCCAUCUCUGUCAAGUAGUUGGUUGCCAGAAUGGAAUUCGGGACUGGUACAUUGCCCUGGUGCAGCUGUCAUCGACCCAAGAAGAAGUCUGGUCUUUUACAAUAAAAUCUCUCCCUGAACUGCCUCAAAAUCUUCAUAAGUUACUCUUUCUUGAGCGUACGGCCAGAGGGAAGCCAGUGGGUGUAGGUGAUGCUCAUACUGCCGAGAAACGGGGAUGAUCAUGAGCUUCCAGGUUGGCUUGCUUUCCUUGGCCUUCUUGGAGCCAGGAUGCUUACGUUGGGCACCCUGUCUCUGGAUCAUAACAGGACAUCCAACUUUCGUCACAUGUCACCAGGGACUCAAGUACUCUUGGAUUGCAGCCCAACCAUCUCCUCGCCGUUACCAAUCCGUCUUUUUGUCUGUUCGUCACUGAGCACCCUGAGAACAAAUUUUGCACUUGUUCUGAUCUUCAUGAAUAAAUCUGUGUACAACUACUACACUAACUCCAAACUAUGCUUAUUGUCUUUACAGGACCCACAAUCUUCAUCCAGAAAAUUGAAUUUUCGCAACCAGCUCCGAUGUUCUGGCGCCCCUCUCCCUCCCACACCUCCUCACUACCGUCUUUGAAUCUCUUUUGUACCCGCGAAAAAUUUAAUCCGUGACCAAUCUGGAGCAUUUCAUAAGUUUCUGCAGCGUUUUUGCCCAGUUCAACAUAAAUCUUUAUAGUAUAGCGAGCUUUCGAACCUCUCGAUUCCAUUCUGCAAACUAGUCGGGGCGGGGGGGUUGAAGCAAAUCCAACGUUUCAAUCUUGAAAAUAAUGAUUUGCUGCAAGAAACAGAAACAGCUUUCAUUUAUAUUUUGUAAUGGUUUGAAUGCUUUCUUUCUUCUUCUAAGUUUGGAUUUUUUUACAUCCUUCGAGAUUGAUAGUAUGAAAGGAAGAAGCUAUCCGGGUCCCAGUGUUGCAACUGGUUGGACGCUUAUGGAGCCAGGCGGUGGUGUAAACCGUGCGACGGACUGAGCCUGUCACACAAGAAAAGGGACAGUCCCCCUGACAGUUUUCAUUGAACCGAAUUUCACUAAGGCUUUGGUCGACUCGAGAUUUCCUAAGAUGAUAUAAACACAGCAUACUUGAUACUGAUUGGAGGUGAAAUCGGUCAAAACACAAAUGUAGAUGUAAAAAUUGUAAAUCUAAAAAUGGAGGAAAAUAUUAUCUUAAUAUAGUAAGGAUUGCUCAUAAAUUUGUAGUGGAUUUCAUCAUUCUUAUUUCUAUACCGCCCACAAGGGGCUACACACAGAGGGAACAAACAAGGACAGACAAACGGAUUAAGUCGAUUACAUCGAACCCCAGUGUGUAACUGGUACUUAUUUAGUCGACCUCGGCAGAAUUUGAACUCAGAACGUAGUGGCAGAUGCAAUACCUAUUUCUUUACUACCCACAAGGUGCUAAACACAGAGAGGACAAACAAGGACAGACAAACGGAUUAAGUCGAUUACAUCGACCCAGGUGCGUAAUUGGUACUUAUUUAAUCGACCCCGAAAGGAUGAAAGGCAAAGUUGACCUCGGCGGAAUUUGAACUCACAACGUAACGCAUACGAAAUACCGCUAAGCAUUUCGCCCGGCGCGCUAACGUUUCUGCCAGCUCGCCGCCUUCAUCAUUCUGGCACGUAUUUCUAUCAAAGCUGGUGAUAAAAUACCAGUUAAUUGGGAUCGAUUCCGGUAAUGCAUCUUAUGUGUGAAUUUCAUUCGAAUAGGCUUCAGCCCGACACGUAACUGAAUACAACAUUCUAUCAGGGGACCACACAUUAUGGUUAAUUUAAUCAAUCUUCGGUACUUAACUAAUACUUAUGUGAUCGGUUCCUGGGGAAAAUCUGAAGAGAGGUCGACCCCAGCAGGAUUUGAACUCGAAGUAUAGGCAUAGGAGGCAAGGCACAAUCUAAGUCUCCUAAUACAAUUCUGGUCCAUCACGGGUGCUUUAUAGGACCAUUAAAUCGAUCAUAGUAUUUGAGUAGAACCCCAAAUGUAUGAAAACCAAGGUUGACCUUGGUAGUGUUUCAACUCGGAACGGAAAAGACGGCGACUGAAAACCGAAGGCAUUUUAAGCAACGAUUUCGCCAGUCUACUUAAAUGGACGACAAAAAUUAUUUUAUUUUCUUGGAUGUAUAAAAUGUAAACUCCGUUGGUAUUUGACCUCGAUAUCUCACUAACAUAAAUAUUGCAAAGGAUUUGGUGCAACAUCUUUGAGUUUUGCCAUCCACUGCCGAAGACGUUCUUUCAUGAAGACCAACAGAGCUAUUGUCAGUUUCGUAUUUUGGGGUCAUGUCAAUAUUAGUAAUAUGACAAUGGAAUAGAUGAUAUCUCGCUUUAUAAAAGUGAUUUUCAGCUUACGGAAGAAACUAUAUUGUGUCCAUUUUGAAUCGUUCUUAGUCUUUAUUAAUAAUAAUAAAAAAAACAUACAGAAUUUAACAGUUAAUAUAUUUACCGUAUCUUCUAUUUAUCAUAUUUCUGUGUAAAUUAAUCGUACGAUUGCAAAUUGAAACCUUAUCUAUUAUUUUCCAGAAUAUUUUUUCCAGUCAUUUCAAAUUCUUAAAUUUUUUACUUAAUAAAAAUGAUCAGCAAUCACUUAUAUAAAAUAAAAUAUUAGACCUGUGUGUGUGUGUGUGAGAGAGAGAGAGAAAGGAAGGACGGAAAUACGAAAUUAAAAUAAGCCUAGCUUUUUACAUCGCGUUUUCAUUGUUCACGUUUCCAUGGUGAGAGGUUUUCUAAACAGGUAUAUCAUAAUUAAUAAUAAUAAUGAUCAUCAUUAUUAUUAUUAAUUAAUAAUAGUAAUCGUUAAUGAUGAUAUAAUAAUAAUAAUAAUAAUAAUAAUGAUAAUAAUAGCUAAAAUGUGACAGGACUCGUCGUAAUCAUAAUGUAAAUAGAUGUAUCUGUGUGGACGUGACAUCAUGUUGGCAGAUUUUGAGUGUGUGUGUGCGUGUGUGCGUGUGUGUGUGCGUGUGUGCGUGUGUGUGUGUGUGUGUGUGUGUGCGUGUGUGUGUGGACUAAUAUUUACUAAACAAAUGAAUGUGCGCGCGCGCGGAACAGUAACAUGUAAAUAGACGAGCAAAAAGAAAAACGUAGAGCUUCGCUAAAACCGGCCAUUAUAAGCUGCGCUGGUCAGGUGAGUUGAUAGACCUGUACUAGUCAUUAUUACUCGUGUGUGUGUGUGUGUGUGUGUGUGAUGUGCUGCUGCGAUUUCUCAGCGAAUCGAGUUCAUUGUCCGGAUUUUCUCAUUCUCGUCUUGGAACUGCUGUACUGGGUAUCACAGUAUAUCGGUAUCACAGCCACAUAUUAUCCCGCCCCUAGAAUCUCUCUCUCUCGCAUAAUUGCUUGAACGUCCGGGUCUAAACAUCACAUUCAACAUUCUGUGAUAUAAAAAUUACUAACAAUAUAACCUACUGUGUUUGUUAUUUUUGUUGUGUGGUUUGUGACUCCGAGAAAUGAAUUUACGAUUCUGUUUGCAAUUCUUUAUUAUUUACUUAUAUACUUGGGUAUUUUACCUUCUGAAAGCAGGCUCUUCCGUUAACGCACGAUUCCGUACCUUUGGACGAAAACGAACGAGGUGGAGUGGUAGAAGUAACAAAAGAUGACUAAAAUAUCUGAUGCAAUAAUUGUUAAUCAUAUUCCGAAUUUGGUCCAGUCCAGUGUCGAUGUCACUCGGAUUAGUAUAAGACCUUCAGUUUGUUACAAGUUAUUAUUAUACGCUGUUGAAAUGUGCAACACACAUAAGUGCUGCACCUAUUGUGAAGCAACAAGAAGAGUGUGUGUUCGCUUCACUUGUUAGAAAUAGCAGCCAGAUCUCCCUCAAUUCACACUCUGCCAUCUAAAAAAUGCAACUAAGGAAAUUGGAUAACUUUGUAACCGAAACAAAAAUUCUCUGCUCAUCACAUGGACGCCCUUCAUUGCAUCUCUUCAAUCAAGCGUAACCGGGGGAUAAAUGACUGUACCCACCGUUAGAAAUGUUUUAUACAUAUCUAGAGUGGCAAAACCCCCAUACAGUCACAUUCCUGAUUCUAUCUAGAAAACAAAAUGUUGUUUACCUAAGAGGUGAGACCCAAUAUGGGAUGACUGGGUGCAGCUGAAUGUUGAAAAUUUGGUUGACAGGGCAUUCAUCCUGUUUUGGUGAUAAUAAUGGUUGACUCUGGUGGAGGCACCUACACAGCCAUACACAUACAGAAAUAUACAGAGAGUGAAAGAGGGAGAUGGACAUUACAAUUUGUGCUGGUGCCACAUAAAUAAUACUUGUUACACACUGUAAAGUGGUUGGUGUGAGGACGGCCAUCCAGCCAUAGAAACCCUUCCAAAACCAACAAGUGGAACCUGGUGCAGUACUCCAGUUUGUUGAUAGGAACAGUCAAAUUGUCCAACCCAUGCCAAAAUGGAAAACGGACGUUAAAUGAUGGUGAUAACCUUCCUUCUCAGGCACAGAAGAAUAUAUAUAUAUAUAUAGAGAGAGAGAGAGAAUGUGAGAAACAUUAAAAUGUCUGAUGUCAAGUAAGUCAGCACUGACUCGACAAUGCCAAAACGUUUUGUACUCAGACAAACCUUUCCCUCAGACAAACCCUUCCCUCUCUGACACUUUCCAAUCCCUUACCUUUUCAUUAAUCUGUGACCUGCAUGUUGUCUUUUAUUGUCACGAUGACCAUCUCUGCUCUUUUGAACAUUUCAUAUCUGAGAAGAAAGGCUUCGUCCCCAGAACCCCUUUCAGAUCCUCCUGAGACCAGGCUUGAAUGCUUCCAACUAGGUGGAUGGCCAGAUGGAAGGCCUAACCCUUUUCAUAGCAACUCACUAGACAUUGCCCUGGUUCUAUAAUACACACUUUCUGUUUUAAAGUUAUCUAAAUUAAAAAAAAAAAACCUAUCAAAAAGUUCAUUUUGAUUAAUGUUCCAAACACAACCUGGGCCCAAAUAUUCUCCCUGUUUAUAUUCAAACUGGUGGGAUUUGGUCUUUCAUUCCUGCUCUAGAAUGUCAGUUUAAAAAUAAACAAUCAUAUCCUAAGUUAGGGAAACGGUGAUGAGUGAAAAUAUUCUGUAAACAUAAGUUUUCACUGAAUAUUUUGGCUGUAGAAAAUAAUCUAAUGUUGGGGCUUAUAAAUCCCUGGUGGAAAAAAAAAGGGUUUUUGUAUAUUUACAAACAAUCACAUCAUCGGAAUUUCAUAGUUAUAUGAUAAGGCAUGAUUAAUUCAAGACAAUAAGCAUUACAUGUUUGACAGAAUAAUCUGAAUGGUGAAGGGAUGAAGCUGACUGUUUGACUAAAUUCUUUAUCAUUUUCAAAAUUAAUCAAAAGAAAAAGUAGUGUAUUGCAACAGAAAACACAGGUAAUAAAAUGGUUCGCCCAGGUAACGACUUAAAUGUCUGCUGCCCUGCAACAAGAUCAGCCUCUCCACUCAGCUCCCAUGCUAUUGUUGAUCAACUUAAGGCCUUGAUAGAAGCUAACCCUAGGGUGGCGAGCUGGCAGAAACGUUAGCACGCCAGGCGAAAUGCGUAGCCGUAUUUCGUCUGGCAUUACUUUCUGAGUUCAAAUUCUGCCCAGGCCGACUUUGCCUUUCAUCCUUUUGGGGUCAAUAAAUUAAGUAACAGUUAUGCCCUGGGGUCGAUGUAAUCGACUUAAUCCGUUUGUCUGUCCUUGCUUGUCCUCUCUGUGUUUAGCCCCUUGUGGGUAGUAAAAGAAAUAGAUAGAAGCUAGCCCUGGAUGCUACACAAUGAAAGAGCAUCAUGAAACCAUUGGCUUAUGAAGGGAGGGUGUAUAUAACAGCACAGGGCUUGCAGGGUAGCAGCUAACAAGGUUACUAAUAAUUUUGUUAGUCUUUUUGUUGUUUAAUUCUAAAUUACCUCAUAUGAGCCAUGCUUUCAUAGCCAUGACCAUUGUAUGUUCUUUUUCCAGGCAUAGGAUAUCUGGGACUACAUUAUCCAAUGGUUUUUCUUUAUUUCUAACAGUAAAAUGUGGUAUGAGGGAUAUUUGGCUGCAGUUUCUAACAGGUCAAGUAAUCCUGCAGAAACACACUCAUUUUCUGCUACUGUUAUUUUUGUAUGAAUGUAGGUUUUAUAUGUGUGUGUGUGUAUAUAUAUAUAUAUCUUUUUCACCUUUUAUUUGUUUCAGUCAUCAGAUUGCGGCCAUGCUGGGGCACUUUCUUGAAGAAUUUUUAAUUGAAUGAAACUCCAG
This 21084-nucleotide long non-coding RNA is filed under the name Octopus vulgaris (common octopus). Lineage: Eukaryota; Metazoa; Mollusca; Cephalopoda; Octopoda; Octopodidae. The record is from RNAcentral.